GAACGCUUGCCGCAUGCUUUAUACAUGCAAGUCGAACGAAGGCCCUAGCUUGCUAGGUGUCCUUAGUGGCGCACGGGUGAGUAACACGUGGGAACAUACCUUAUAGUACGGAAUAACUGCGGGAAACUGUAGCUAAUACCGUAUAUUCCAGUAAUGGGAAAGAUUUAUCGCUAUAAGAUUGGCCCGCGCAAGAUUAGCUUGUUGGUGAGGUAAAAGCUCACCAAGGCUUCGAUCUUUAGCUGGUUUGAGAGGAUGAUCAGCCACACUGGGACUGA
RNAcentral lists this ribosomal RNA (275 nucleotides) under uncultured Alphaproteobacteria bacterium. Its description in RNAcentral is "partial 16S ribosomal RNA". It matches the Rfam family "Bacterial small subunit ribosomal RNA", at positions 31 to 322 of the family's 1533-position model. Lineage: Bacteria; Pseudomonadati; Pseudomonadota; Alphaproteobacteria. The record is from RNAcentral.